GGGCAUGUAGCGUAGGGGUUAUCGCGUUCGCUUUGCAAGUUAUGGCAUCUAGUAAACUCUCAUUGCGAAAGGUCUCCGGUUCAAAUCCGGACUUGUCCA
RNAcentral lists this transfer RNA (99 nucleotides) under Lentinula raphanica. RNAcentral describes it as "tRNA-Ala". It matches the Rfam family "tRNA". Rfam says of the family: Transfer RNA (tRNA) molecules are approximately 80 nucleotides in length. Their secondary structure includes four short double-helical elements and three loops (D, anti-codon, and T loops). Lineage: Eukaryota; Fungi; Basidiomycota; Agaricomycetes; Agaricales; Omphalotaceae. The record is from RNAcentral.